GCUUUGCAGACUCGACGGCACGAUUCCAGGCCAGGACUCCGGAAACGGCGACGCAGUAGUCGGAACGAGCAAGCGUCGCUCGCGCCGACGCGCCUUGCUGGCGAGAGCCGCAGUAGCUGUCGGUGACCGCCGGCUCUUUUGUCCGCCGCCGAGGGUUGUGAGCUGAAUGCAGGAGGCCGCCGAAGUCGCUGCGCCGAACUGGCCACAGCAUCACCAUCGCCCGGGGUGACUCGAUCGUAGUCCGGGGCAGCAGCGCAGACGAUGUGCAUGUGACAGCAAGCCAGGGGUGACUCCAAUCACGCUGCGUACACUCAACACACUCGGCAAACACUAAUGUAGUGCAAGGGAGAGGGAUUCUGCAUGCGCAUCGCCCACGUGGUACGAUGUUCAACUCGGCUAGCAAAAGAUCGGGCAGCUACUCAGAUGCUAAGUUCAUGUGAACGAAGCUCGCUUCCUUGAGUCGAACGAGUAAUUUCAAUUCGUGCGAGGCUAAAUAGAAUGAGGGAAGCAACUUGCAACACCUCAACGCCACGGUCCACCAGGUUGUGUCCCUCCACGUGCGACAGGCAGCUUUGUAAAGCCUUAGGCCUAAAGCGUCGCUACCCUGACAACAACCGGCAUCCAAAAACAA
RNAcentral lists this long non-coding RNA (631 nucleotides) under Dermacentor andersoni. Its description in RNAcentral is "uncharacterized LOC126543972". Lineage: Eukaryota; Metazoa; Arthropoda; Arachnida; Ixodida; Ixodidae. The record is from RNAcentral.